RNAcentral lists this ribosomal RNA (157 nucleotides) under Phaeococcomyces mexicanus. RNAcentral describes it as "5.8S ribosomal RNA". It matches the Rfam family "5.8S ribosomal RNA". Rfam says of the family: 5.8S ribosomal RNA (5.8S rRNA) is a component of the large subunit of the eukaryotic ribosome. The record is from RNAcentral. Lineage: Eukaryota; Fungi; Ascomycota; Arthoniomycetes; Lichenostigmatales; Phaeococcomycetaceae.
AAACUUUCAACAACGGAUCUCUUGGUUCUGGCAUCGAUGAAGAACGCAGCGAAAUGCGAUACGUAAUGUGAAUUGCAGAAUUCAGUGAAUCAUCGAAUCUUUGAACGCACAUUGCGCCCUUUGGUAUUCCGAAGGGCAUGCCUGUUCGAGCGUCAUU